RNAcentral lists this ribosomal RNA (788 nucleotides) under uncultured bacterium. Its description in RNAcentral is "bacterial SSU rRNA". It matches the Rfam family "Bacterial small subunit ribosomal RNA", at positions 54 to 734 of the family's 1533-position model. The record is from RNAcentral.
CAUGCAAGUCGAACGGCAGCACGGGAGCAAUCCUGGUGGCGAGUGGCGAACGGGUGAGUAAAGUAUCGGAACGUGCCCAGUCGUGGGGGAUAACGUACCGAAAGUUACGCUAAUACCGCAUACGAUCUAUGGAUGAAAGCGGGGGAUCGCAAAACCUCGCCCGAUUGGAGCGGCCGAUAUCACAUUAGGUAGUUGGUGGGGUAAAGGCUCACCAAGCCGACGAUCUGUAGCUGGUCUGAGAGGACGACCAGCCACACUGGGACUGAGACACGGCCCAGACUCCUACGGGAGGCAGCAGUGGGGAAUUUUGGACAAUGGGCGCAAGCCUGAUCCGGCCAUGCCGCGUGCAUGAUGAAGGCCUUCGGGUUGUAAACUGCUUUUGUACGGAACGAAAAGGUUUGGCCUAAUACGCUGAACUCAUGACGGUACCGUAAGAAUAACCACCGGCUAACUACAUGCCAGCAGCCGCGGUAAUACGUAAGGUGCGAGCGUUAAUCGGAAUUACUGGGCGUAAAGCGUGCCCUGCGGGUUUUGUAAGACAAAUGUGAAAUCCCCGGGCUCCACCUCGGGAACUGCAUUAUCCACUGCAUGGCUUAAAUACUGUGGAAGGGGGGAUGGAAUUCCCGCGUCUUACCAGUGAACAUGGGGGUACAUGUACACCCGGUAACCCCGAUGUGCUAAGGGCCAUCCCCUUGGGGGCUGGUACCCGAACUCCCGUGGCAAGAAAAGCCGUUGGGCAGCCAAACAAGGAUUAGAUUGCCCCUGGAUUAUGUUCCACUCCCCUCAAC